GCAGUUGUGGUCGAGUGGUUAAGGCUAUUGACUUGAAAUCUAUUCUCAUGUGAGGGCGAAGGUUCGAAUCGUACCAAGUGCG
Daphnia pulex (common water flea) is the source of this 82-nucleotide non-coding RNA. The record is from Rfam. NCBI's taxonomy places the organism in Eukaryota, Metazoa, Arthropoda, Branchiopoda, Diplostraca, Daphniidae.